GGAAAAAAAAAACACAAAGCAACUAAGAAUACUCCCUCCGUCCUAAAACAAAUUCUAGAAAAACUACAACUAUUCAACCCCUGACAAUCUACUCCCUGACAACCAAAAACAUUCUCCCGCAAUCUGUGUCCAAAUACCACGACUAAUAUAUCAAAUUACACUCCUCACGUCGAGAAGAAAAGCAAAGCAAAGCAGAAAUUACUUUAAGGUUUGCG
RNAcentral lists this long non-coding RNA (215 nucleotides) under Capsicum annuum. RNAcentral describes it as "long non-coding RNA (CANN_LNC005075)". Lineage: Eukaryota; Viridiplantae; Streptophyta; Magnoliopsida; Solanales; Solanaceae. The record is from RNAcentral.